CCUUCCCCCAUGUCUGAUUGUGGAAAACCUGGAGUUUACUUCGGAUCGGCCAUGCCCCCAUCCCAUUGAGAGAGAGGGCGAUAUUCUUUGGUUGAAGAUCCGCUAUUUCUAUCAUCUUUUUCUACGAUGAUAUUGGAUGAGAAGGUCUUACCUGUUUUAUUGAACUGACCUUACAAAAGGUGUCAUGGGUGAAACUCUUCAAGCAAUCGUACCCAUAGUGAGACUUUCAGGACCGCUCACAGGAUUGAACACAAAACCAGUUCAUUCUUCACCCUUUCCCCUUCGCUAUAUAGUGGUCCUUGAAUGUGCCCUCGGCUCUUCCUCUUCCUUAAUCAUAGAUCUUACAUAAGAGAAUAUAGAUAAGGGUCUUUUGACUAUGCGCUCGCAAGGGCUGAGGCAGGGGACUGCCCAUACCUGGAAUAACCGCCUCCUGUAGACGACGGGGCUCCACUUGGGCAAGGGAUAGGAUCUCUUGUUUCACCAUCUCCGGGUCGUCAGAUGCUUUUUGAUGAAAAUAGUCUCGGGCUUGAGCGGAUGUCCCAUUUCAUCCAACAGCAACAAAAGCAGGAGCGGGACCAGCAACUAGGUAGGGUUGUUCAAAGCAUUACGUCUUGUGUUCAGAGACUGGGGAAGAGGGCGACCUGUGGAAGCAUGCACAAAGACUUAGAUGUGGGGUCCAGGUAAGACGACCCAAGGAGAUAACCGACGGCCUGUCUCCGGCUCCGGAAAGCUGCUGGUUAGAUAGAGUGAUUGAAACCAGUUAGAGCCGGGUCCAUCCCACAGAGGUCGGAUGGGGUUUGGGCCGAGAACGGCUGAGAAGCCCACCAGAAAGAUCAGUAGGCCUCGCGAAUAAACCAUCUAAGCUUUCAUUUCAUGUGGAAGCGCCUCUCUGUUAUGACCUCUUCCGGAUAGAUUAAAUAAUAAUAUAUGCCGUCGCUAUUCUUUUUAUUCAAUGAAGCAGUUCCUCUUCUAAACCUAAUUCAUCUUCUUCAAUCAAACGGCCGUACUCGACCAUCUCAGUAGCUCAGCGGUAGAGCGGUCGGCUGUGAACAACUCACUGGAAAAAAAAGGUUCGAUUCCUGCUUGAGAUUUUGAUAGAAAUAAUAUGUAUCUAAAUCAGAGUUCUUUAUAUACUAUAUUAGAUGAUCCUUUCUCUUUUGCUUUAGCUUUUCCUGUCAUUCCCGCUGGUUAAGGAGCAGCAGUAGCGGUUUACAGAACAGCUAUUUCUUUAAGUAGACUCACUCCUGAAAAAGAAUCAAAGGGUCUCAGGCGGAAGGCUUCCUAAAUCAUUUUCCAGAACUACCUAAAGGCUUUAAGGCACAAAGAGAAGGAGAUACGUCCCACUAACUGGUAACCGGAACAAUAAGAAGAGGAUGGACUCUAUUUUCUGAGGAGACAUUGACUCUGUUCAGCCGUUACCAUUCUAUAUGCCUUUUCCGCCUUCAAGCCCUUAUCCCGGAUAGGAGAUGUAUGCAAACGAUGCAGGAAUCGAAGUUGAGUAAUAGAAGACUCGCUUUUCUUAAUAUUAAUAGAAGAAAGCCUAUAGAAUGACCAGUUUGUUUCCUACAGGUUGACCGGCGGCCAAUUGUUUUUUUCAGAUAGGGACGAGUAAAGCGCGAUUCUUAUCCGGGAUCACUAUUCUAAUCGGGGUUGUAACUCCCCCAACCUCGACUCACUCCUACUAUCAUUCAUUCUAUCUCCGCUUCACUUCGUUCAGCUCCUAAUCGACAUCUUUCUCAUUAGCCUUUAAGCUUUCUUUCUGGUUCCUCCAUCCCCCCAUCUCAAUAAAGAUGACCAGGGAGUCUAUUACCAAUCCGGGUAGUUUUCCCUCCAAUCUUUCCCCUAGCUACUAGUCUCAUCAGGCGCUCCGGGUGGUAGUUUAGUUAUUACUCCUUGUCGGCGCCCCUGCUUCUCCAUUUCCAAUGGCUAUUAGAUAAUAGAGAAACUAUUAGAUAGUGGAAAAAAAAACCUUCCAUCUAGUAAACAAUUAUCCAGCUUACUCUACCCGUAUGGUCUACUCCCGGCCAGACAUAGGCGGUUUUGUUCCUUACACUCUCACUAGGGCCAGCUGGUAGAUGAAUCUAUCCGUCUAGAUAGUGCUAUCCAUAGAUUGGACAACUAUCUCUGCCUGCCAGAGAUUGGCAGUAUUCAACUUCUAUAGGCGGUUCCAAGCGAACUUAUCAGUCGCUUCCCUUUCUAUGGUUCAAACAAAGUCUCAGCCUUCCCCAACCCUAUCCUGGAAUUACCCACUUCAUCCCUUUACCCUUCGCUUUGCUCACCCUGGCCUAACCCUAUCCAUGAACCCGCCCCUUUCUCUUCCGGGCAAUGAACCUUUGUUACUACAUAGAAAGAGAAGUCAUUGAGCAGUCUAAACCUCUAUUGGAGAGGAGGGGCAACUAUCCCAUCCCGUUGGUAUCUGUAUCUUCUCCAUCCACUAGGGGCAGUGAACAAUCUAUCGCUUUCUAUCGGCGAGUAGCUAGAUUUCUCUUCUAUAGCGGUAUCUCUACCCUGUCCGUUUAUCCAUCCCUUAUUGUAAUGGUAGGCUGCCGGUUCAGUUUGUUUCUCUUCCAUCGGUAAUUCAAUCCAUCCUUCUAUCCCGGGAACAGACGAAGGUUGAUGAGGCUGGUAUAUCUAUUGAAAUCUUUGCCAGCCUCGGUUUCCUGUUCCGACCUGGCUUCAUCCCCAUCGUCGGCAAAAACAACGAGGAAAAAAAACCAAAAGAGAACCUACGGAAAUCAAAUGAAAAUCUAAAAUUGGAGAAAAUGUCCCUACUAGAUAGUUUCAUUAAUAGGCCGCGGAUGCACUUACCAAUCCCUGUACUCAAAUUGAAGAAUUGUCUAAGUAGUUCUUGGCUUUGUCUCAUUGUCUAUCCCGUAAUCACCGCCUCUACUUAAACUUCAAUUGAAGCGAGCACAACCUGAGCAAGAAAGCCGCAAAGGCUUUCGCGCUAGCGCGCUCCCC
This 2961-nucleotide long non-coding RNA is filed under the name Amborella trichopoda. Its description in RNAcentral is "long non-coding RNA (ATRI_LNC004941)". The stretch from base 1014 to 1091 matches the Rfam family "tRNA". Lineage: Eukaryota; Viridiplantae; Streptophyta; Magnoliopsida; Amborellales; Amborellaceae. The record is from RNAcentral.